This 544-nucleotide ribosomal RNA is filed under the name uncultured bacterium. RNAcentral describes it as "bacterial SSU rRNA". It matches the Rfam family "Bacterial small subunit ribosomal RNA", at positions 774 to 1321 of the family's 1533-position model. The record is from RNAcentral.
AGUAAAUAGAUACCCAGGUAGUCCAUGCCGUAAACGAUGAUUGCUAGGUAUGGGGGUCUGACCCUUCCGUGCCGGAGUUAAACACAAAUAAGCAAUCCACCUGGGGAGUACGGCCGCAAGGUUGAAACUCAAAGGAAUUGACGGGGGCCCGCACAAGCAGUGGAGUAUGUGGUUUAAUUCGAAGCAACGCGAAGAACCUUACCAGGUCUUGACAUCCACCGAAUCCUGUAGAGAUACGGGAGUGCCCUUCGGGGAACGGUGAGACAGGUGGUGCGUGGUUGUCGUCAGCUCGUGUCGUGAGAUGUUGGGUUAAGUCCCGCAACGAGCGCAACCCUUGUGAAUAGUUGCUACGAAAGAGCACUCUAUUCAGACCGCCGUUGACAAAACGGAAGAAGGUGGGGAUGACGUCAAAUCAUCAUGCCCCUUAUGACCUGGGCUACACACGUACUACAAUGGCCGUUAACAGAGGGAUGCAAUGCCGCGAGGUGGAGCGAACCCCUAAAAACGGUCUCAGUUCAGAUUGCAGGCUGAAACUCGCCUGCAU